UGGGGAAUAUUGCACAAUGGGCGCAAGCCUGAUGCAGCCAUGCCGCGUGUAUGAAGAAGGCCUUCGGGUUGUAAAGUACUUUCAGCGGGGAGGAAGGCGAUAAGGUUAAUAACCUUGUCGAUUGACGUUACCCGCAGAAGAAGCACCGGCUAACUCCGUGCCAGCAGCCGCGGUAAUACGGAGGGUGCAAGCGUUAAUCGGAAUUACUGGGCGUAAAGCGCACGCAGGCGGUCUGUCAAGUCGGAUGUGAAAUCCCCGGGCUCAACCUGGGAACUGCAUUCGGAACUGGCAGGCUAGAGUCUUGUAGAGGGGGGUAGAAUUCCAGGUGUAGCGGUGAAAUGCGAAGAGAUCUGGAGGAAUACCGGUGGCGAAGGCGGCCCCCUGGACAAAGACUGACGCUCAGGUGCGAAAGCGUGGGGAGCAAACA
This 427-nucleotide ribosomal RNA is filed under the name uncultured bacterium. RNAcentral's name for it is "partial 16S ribosomal RNA". It matches the Rfam family "Bacterial small subunit ribosomal RNA", at positions 355 to 774 of the family's 1533-position model. The record is from RNAcentral.